GCGGUAUCCCUACCGUGCUAAGGUAGCAUAAUCAUUUGCCUUUUAAUUGGAGGCUAGUAUGAAUGGGUAAACGAAAUUUCAACUUUAUUGUUUUUAUAAUAUAAAAUUUAGAAUUUAGGUGAAGAUACCUAAAUAAAUUUGAAAGACAAGAAGACCCUAUAGAGUUUUAAAUUAAUGAUAAUGUAAAAUAAUUUUUGGUUGGGGCGACUAAAGAUUUUAUAAACAUCUUUUAUUAAAACGAAAUAUUUUUCUAAAUAUUUGAUCCUAGUUGUAGAUAAAUAAAAUAAACUACCUUAGGGAUAACAGGCUUAUCUUUCUAAAGAGUUCAAAUUGACAGAAAGGUUUGGCACCUCGAUGUUGGCUUAGAGUAACCUAUUAAUGUAGAAGUUAAUUAAGGUCAGUUUGUUCAACUGUUAAAUCUCUACGUGAUCU
Molecule: ribosomal RNA, 432 nt
Filed under: Bathypolaria sp. 173 PB-2018
Lineage: Eukaryota; Metazoa; Annelida; Polychaeta; Phyllodocida; Polynoidae
Description: partial 16S ribosomal RNA
Rfam family: Bacterial large subunit ribosomal RNA
Source: RNAcentral